CACAAUGUUGCCCGAUCACCCUCUCAGGCCGGAUACCCAUCGUCGCCUUGGUGGGCCUUUACCUCACCAACUAGCUAAUGGGACGCAAGCUCAUCCUCAAGCGGAGCCGUAGCUCCCUUUCCUCAACGCCUCUUAUGAAGCACUGAGCCUAUUCGGUAUUACCUGCUAUUUCUAACAGCUAUCCCAUCUUAAGGGUAGAUUACCCACGUGUUCCUCACCAGUCCGCCACUCUAGGAGAGAAGCAAGCUCCUCUCUUGCCGUUCGACUUGCAUGCUUAAGACGCGCCGCCAGCGUUCGUUCUGAGCCAGGAUCAAACUCUAAUCGAAUUCCCGCUGCCACA
RNAcentral lists this ribosomal RNA (340 nucleotides) under Treponema vincentii. Its description in RNAcentral is "partial 16S ribosomal RNA". Lineage: Bacteria; Pseudomonadati; Spirochaetota; Spirochaetia; Treponematales; Treponemataceae. The record is from RNAcentral.